Molecule: signal recognition particle RNA, 90 nt
Filed under: Spirochaetales bacterium
Lineage: Bacteria; Pseudomonadati; Spirochaetota; Spirochaetia; Spirochaetales
Description: signal recognition particle sRNA small type
Rfam family: Bacterial small signal recognition particle RNA
About the family: The signal recognition particle (SRP) is a universally conserved ribonucleoprotein involved in the co-translational targeting of proteins to membranes. Archaeal SRP consists of a 7S RNA and homologues of the eukaryotic SRP19 and SRP54 proteins.
Source: RNAcentral
CUUGAGGUGGUAGACGAUUGUAACUGUCUGAACCCCGUCAGGACGGAAGUAGCAGCGGUAGGAAUGGUUACUUUGCGUUUAUUUAAUUUC